GCCAGCAGCCAUAUCACAACUGGCAACCCACUGAAGCUCAGCAGGUGUGAGCCUGGUCAGUACCUGGAUGGGGAGACCUCCUGGGAAAAACUAAGGUUGCUGCUGGAA
RNAcentral lists this ribosomal RNA (108 nucleotides) under Lepisosteus oculatus (spotted gar). The record is from RNAcentral. Lineage: Eukaryota; Metazoa; Chordata; Actinopteri; Semionotiformes; Lepisosteidae.